RNAcentral lists this long non-coding RNA (822 nucleotides) under Mytilus galloprovincialis (Mediterranean mussel). The record is from RNAcentral. Lineage: Eukaryota; Metazoa; Mollusca; Bivalvia; Mytilida; Mytilidae.
UGUUUGUGUCCGUAAUAUAUAUAUUAUACCCACCAAAGCCAUGUUGAAUGUGCCAACCCUUAAUAUUGUUAUAUAUUGAGAUUUAAAGCAGGGAGAUUUUAAAUUGUAUAAAAUGAAAAACUUUUGUGUUGUGAAAGAAAUACUAUCUGAACAUACUAUUCCACUUGGCUAAGAUCACUACAUUUCAAAUAUUAUGACUAUGAAAGAUAAUUCAUAUGAUGUGUGAGAAACUUCUUUCGAGCAAGAAUGUAGUUAUUUCUGAGGGGACUGAUGGAGGGGGGGGUAUCAGCACGAUUCACGUGUUGAUUUUUUUGUCAAUCACGAUUCACAGAAAAUAGAUUUCCAUGAUCACGGAUCACGAAAAUAUAAAAAAUAAAAUCUGUUGAAAAUGCGCAGAUCUCGAAGUACGAAAAUAACCCAUCAGGCAUCUCAUUUAUAUGAAUUGUUAACAUUAAUUAUUAAAACAUCAAACAGAAGAUACAAAGGAUUUUUAACCCAAGUGGAAUAGACUGAACAUUUGUUGUUUCAAAAUUUUUUGACAUUUUUGUCAACGUUUAUUUUAAACUUGAAGCUUAUGUCUUUAUAAUUCGAUAUAAAAAAAAAAUAAUUAAGGACAUAUGAAAUUGGAGUUAAAUUAAAUUUAGUAAAGAUGGCUGAAAUUGUGUGAACAAAAGGGUUGUUACUGAAAUAUUAAAAAAUGCUAUGAUAAUAUUUGUGUAGAAAAUAUUUUUUUUUAAUACAUAUUCAAGAUUAAUUUAUGAUCCUAUAUGUAACUUAUUAAGAAAUUCUUUUAAGAUCUGUUUGUGGAUUGUUGUCUGUGAU